AACGGAGGGUGAAUUGAAAGGACUGUGACAAGGUUGUACUAACUGUCUCCUCGUUGUUGCAGGCUCCACAGCCCCAGAGCAGCCUCCAGCGUGGCAUUCCCACAUCUGCCCGCUCCAUGCUUUCAAACUUUGCACAGGCUCCCCAGUUGUCUGUGCCAGGUGGCCUCCUUGGUAUGCCAGGUAAGAGGGGCUGCUCUGAGAACAUUCCUAGGGCGCACAAUUCUAGUAGCCCUGUUAGGUGAAUUGUUCCUUCCUUUGCCUUUUUUCCUUAGGGUAUACCUCCUCACUGUUUUGUUAUUUAGCAGAUGUUUGCUAAAUUUGUAUUAUGUUCCAGCCAUGGUACACUACAGUUUUGGUGUUGAAAUCGACAGUCCCUAACAUUAUAAAUUUUAAUAUCUAAUGUGCCUUCAGUGAGCAAGUGGUUAUCGAUCUCUCUUAGCUAGGACAGUUGGGCCAACUGACCUGUUUAACUGAUCCAGUGUUGCUUCUUCACAAUCAUUGGCCCCCAAAUCAGAGCAGAUUCAGUGAUUCCAUUUCUUUAUCAUUUUUCUUUUUUUUUUUUUUUUUUUUAAAGAGAGAGUGAGAGACAGAGAGAGAGAGAGAAUUUUUUUUAUUUUUAAUAUUUAUUUUUUAGUUUUCGGCGGACACAACAUCUUUGUUUGUAUGUGGUGCUGAGGAUCGAACCCGGGCCGCACGCAUGCCAUGCGAGCGCGCUACCGCUUGAGCCACAUCCCCAGCCCCUAUCAUUUUUCUCUCACCGCUGUUUUAUCGAUCUGUCCUCUGUCAUCAGGAAUGUGUUCAUUAUUCCUAGUAGAAUUAAAAUUUCAGGAAGAUCUCUUUCCCUAAAGCUGGAAUAAGAGGGUAGUUGCUAUUGAAAUAAAGCUAGGGGAUGGGGCUCUAGCUCAGUGGUAGAGCACUUGCCUAGCAUGUGUGAGGCACUGGAUUCAAUCCUCAGCACUGCAUAUAAAUAAAUAAAUAAAGGUAUUGUGUUCAUCUACAACUAAAAAAAAUAUUCAAAAAGAAAGAAAAGAAAUAAAGCUAGCCAAGCAUAGAUAGAUGUAGUUAAACUCUGGUGUUCCCUCCCCAUCUCCAAAUCUGCAGCCCCAAAGUAUAGUACUGAAGGCAGUGUCAUUUCCUCUUUUAAUACCUUUCCAUUUUUCUCUCCUGGGUCUAGGUGUCAACAUUGCAUAUUUGAACACUGGCAUUGGAGGACACAAAGCCCCCAGUUUGGCAGACCGACAGCGUGAAUACCUUUUAGACAUGAUCCCUCCCCGGUCUAUAUCGCAGUCCAUCAGUGGACAGAAAUAACGCCUGUUCCACUUGUACUCCCCCAACCUUGAAUCCUUUACCCUUUCCUCUCCCGUUACCCCCAACUUCCGUCGCAUGCAGUGCCUGUACUGGUGCCUACCAUACACGGAAAGCAAAACUGAAAAACAGAAGACAAAAAAUAGAAAUCAACAAGAAAACACACGCCCUGCCCUGCCACCUCCCCUUUAUUCACUGCUGCGAUCUGUUCUCCUGCCGCUCUAUCUUCUCUUUGAUUUUCUUUUAACAGUGAGGUGGAUCUUUGCCUCUGAUAGAGGUCAGAAGGAGGUCCUGGGGAGAAUUUAAGCCCUCUGACGUGUGUUUCUAAAGUUUGUUUUAUGCUACAAUUAUUAUCAUUUUUAAUUAUACUGUGUGUCCUCCCUUUGUUCAGUGGACGGUUAAACCUUUCCCCCCCCCCAGUCUUUUUCUUUUUCCUUCCUCCCUUUCUUCCUUCCUCCCUCCCUCUCUCUUUUUUUUUUUUUUUUAAUAAACACAAUGACAUUCAGUUCAAUGAUAGGAGCAUUGCAGAUUGCAGUAGGAUCCUCAGCUGCCAAGUAGGACGUGACUGGGAGUAUUAGGGGCAAAGAUUUUGAAUGCACUUAACCUGAGUUGUGGGGUGAGUGGCAUCAAGCAAGGAGGAUUAACACCCUAGCUGUGGGUGUUUUGGGGAUGGGCAAUUUAGGAGACAGUGUUUUAGUAUUGAUGUUUGGCUCUAAGAAAGAAAGGAAAGAACCUGCAAGGAGAAGCUUUAAAACAACUGCCCUGGAAUUUACUUAGGAAAGGAGAAGAAAGAAGUAUGAUAGUUAGCAUAAUGAUAAGCCAAGGAGGACUGAGACCAGGUCCUGGCCUCUGGAUGCUGGAGGAAUACAGUUGGUCUCCUGACCCCAGGGGUAUGGAAGUCUGUUCCAAGCCAACUAGCCCAAAAUAGCUUCAUCUAAUUUCCUUUGUAAAAUUGUCCCUCCACCCCACUCUCACUCCCUUUUUAAAAAUCCUAAUCUUCCCCCCGCUAACUACAGCCCCUGGUUGUUCCCAGGCUGUUUUUUUGCUGGUGUCCUAGAAGUUAUAUGAGUAUGAAUGAGUCAAGUGACAAAAGUUGAAAAUAGAGGAAGAGAUUUCUCUCCUAGCAGUUGAAAGUCAUACAUUUGUCUGUCCUUCACCCUCUAAGUGCAGGGAGGUAAGAGAAAGGGCCCUAAUCAGCCUGGAGUCCUGCCCUGACUGUGCUGCACAGACUGCAGAACCAGCUGCUUGAUGCCAAACAGCUCACUGUCAAGACCAACUCUGGACCUCUGCUCUACAAGUGUUGUCUUUCUCCCGCCCCCGCCCCCCAUUCUAUUAAUUUUGCUCUUUUGUUUUUGUUUUUUUCUUAAGUGCUACUAAUGUAGAGAAUGAAUUGAAUUGUGCAAUGUUGCUGUUCUGGGGAUUAGGGAGAUUAGCAUCCCAUUUGCCCACACUGUGGGGGAAGGGGGUACGGACCAGGCUGUUUUUUGAGGUAAGGGAAGGCCCUUAAAAGGAAGGGUUUCUGCCCUCCUCGGUAGUUGACACCCACCUGCCUCUCCAGCUCCAGAAGCUGCCAGAGUGCGCUGGGGACGCUGUUAGCAGAGUGGUGUGAGGAGUUAAUAUUUUGCCCUUGAAAGCCACCUGAGGAAGUUCCCUCGUUUUUAUUUUUUAAAAUUAAAUAAUUUUUUUAAAGUAAAAAGGCACUUUUAAAAUUAACACAUACACACAAACUGCACAUCUUCCCCAUAAAAUUUGGGGGUAGGGUGGGAAAAGGAGCUGAAAUCAGGCUUAGUCCCCCACUCUGGCCUCUACUCCCCACACCCCAGUGCCACUGAGGGUGAUUAUACUGGCCCUACGGGCCAUCCUGGCUUUUUUUCUUUCCUACCUUCCCCCAAAUUUCAUUGAGCACUUAAUAAAGGAGCAGAGAUACAGCCAGUGUCUGGGCUCCCCAAGUGGUGAAAUGAUCUGAAAGCUAGACGCUAGUACCAGGUAGUGUCAGGUCGUUUCGAGUAUUUUUCUGGGGAAUGUCAUACCCCUGACUGUAAGUGGUGGGAGAGGGAGGGGGGUUAAUGGAACUGGGUCUGGGAUUAUUUUAAAAUUAUAUAUAUAUAUAUAUAAAGAUAUAUUCUUACAUCUUUUCUUUGCCCUCUGUGCUUUGAAAGCACUGGAUAAAUCGUUUGGUUUUGCUUUUCUCUCUUCCACAAAAUUGGAAGCUUUUUUAUUUUUUUUUCCCCUUCAUGUUUUUCCUACAAGUCAUUUUGCCUUGUGGCAUGUCUGUCUAGCCUCCCCCACCCCAUGAUGAAGUGCCAUUUCUGUUAUGUCUCCCUGACCCCCAGCUCAGAGGUGCUCAGAGGUACAAGGUGCCCAAGUUUGUCAGUUGAGAUUAAAAGUUAGGAACAGAGAAUGUGCAAUACCUUCUGGCUGGGGGCUGUCCCUGCCCUGAGCUGAGUCCCUGCCCUGGGAGCCAGGCCACCUUAAAUGGGAUUUGGAAGUAAGAUGUGUAGAGAUGGGGAGUGGUGGGGAAGGAAAGCCCAUAGUCCCGUGUCUGCUUAGGUGCUGAGACCAUAGGGGAGAGGGUAGAAUCUUUCCUGUUUUAAUCCCCUCUGGGUCGAUUACAUAGACGCUGCUUAUUAACUAGUAUAGCUCUGUGACCCUUUGUUCAAUUGCUGAGGUUUGAUUUCUUACCCUCUCCACCCCAUCUUCAUACCCUUCCCAAGGAUUAGUGAUGGGGCAAGUUCUCCUUAAUCAUGGUAAAGCAUUAGCCUCCACUCCCCACCUUCCUUCUCCCCAUCUUCUGUCUUCCUCAAGUCUCUGCUUUUUCAUCUGAUUGUCUCGUUCCCUCCAAGUCUAGUGUUGCUAUCAUCCCUAGGCUUUGUAGACACUAAUCCUGUGCCCUGAGGAUGGGAGGAAAGACCUUGUGUUCACAGAGUUGUCCUUUACCCUGGACCUUUGAGUUUCCAGGUAUUAUUAGAGUGAGGGUCCCACAAGUUGUGCCUGGCUUCCUCCAGACCCAGUGGCACUAAAAGCACUCAUUCAUGGAUGGUGUCUUAACUCCCUAGAAGCCUGAGACAGGUGGAUUAGUGGUGAGACUUGGGUAAAACUGGGAGACAGAGGUCCUUAUUUGUCAGUUUUAUUUUGUCACUUGACCACAGCAUCUGGACUCCCUCCAUCUCUGGAAUAAGUAUUUCCCCCACAUUUUUGGAUUUAUGUAUGGUAGACAUUUUUUUUUUUUUUUUAAAGACACAGAUAAAUGUUUUCCUGCUUUGGUUACCUUUCCUUUUCCCUUUGAAAGGAAUUAGCUGUAGAACUGCUUUGUAAAGAUGCUUCUUGAUAUUUUACUUUUGUUCCUUUUCCCCAACCAUUCCCUUUUCUCCCCAUUUCUCCCGAAGGCAUAACCCUUCUCUCCACACACCCUACCCCAUCCCAGUCCCAGGCUCCCUUCCCUCUCAUCAAGAUCUUCAUUAGCUUAUGAUAUUUGCUGCCGAGAUGUUAUAACAAGGACUCAUUCGUGUAUAUAAGCUAUUUCUUGAUCCAUUUAAAAGGAAUUGUACAUUGUGUAGAAAAAAAAAAAGCCCUAGCCAUGGAUAUUGUGAAACUGUGUUAUGUCAUUUUGUAAUGUGCCCGUUUGUGUAUGAUCCGUGCAAAAGGGUUUCUGGGGAAGGGGAGGGGGUAGGGAGGCAGGGCUGUGGAGGGUGGGUAGGGGAGUGGGCCGGGCCCAGCACACUGAGACUGGCAGCUGCUCCAACCCCAUCCCUCCUUAGAGAUGCCACCUCCCCCACCACCCACCCCUAAUUUGUGCCUUGCCUCCCCACCCUGGAGUAGUCCCUCCGGGUCACCAGCACUGCCUUGGCAGAGCCCACUCCCUACCCUAACCUGCCCACCCUCCCUGCCCCCCAGCAUUAGGUUGAUACUGUGGGGAAGUGCUGGGGUUUGGGAGGCAGCCGAGGAAUGGGGCAGUUCCCCGGGGGCAUCGAAACCAAGUAUUAUUAUGAAUUGUAAUUGUAUUUGCACUGUUUUUUUUCCCUCUGAUUGCAUCAGCAUAUAUACAAUAUACCUAUAUAACAAAAUUCAGUGUCAAGCUUUCUUAUGCAAGGGAUUUCCCCCAUCUCACCCCCCCCCCCCCCACAAAAAGAAAGAACCUAGUCUAAUGGACCUUUGAAGAUGAAUUGUCAGGGGAUGGUAGGAAGAAAGGACCCCCUUAGGAGGUCUCAGCUUUUGAGAGCCACAGCUAUCUGCACAGUUUUAGACUAUGAAUUGAGGUGAGGUUGGGUUCCUGUGAAUGCUGGAACGAUUUGUCCAGGACUGUGGAGAAUAUUAAAUAAAGAUAAACACCAGUACAAAGAGUGACAUGGCCUGGAGACCUAGGGUCUCCUAACUUGGCUGUGUGCUCUUUGGUAGUGUUAUUUUUGUGGGUCUCAGGUUUUUUUGUUUGUUUGUUUGUUUUAAUCUGUGAAGGAUGAAAUCAUCUGGCCACCAGUGUUGAGGUUCUGAGCUUCCUUCCCUCCUGCCAAAAACAGAAAUCAGCUUGAGGUGAAGGAAGUGUUGGGCUAAGACAAUAGGGAGGAAAUGAAAGCGACUAAUGUUGAAGUAGUUACAUAUGUGACAAUGCCCUUGGAGAGCUGGCAGUCAGUCCCUUGCUUUAAGUUUUUUUGUAAGAGGUGGCAGAGUGAUGUUCAGGAGGGCAGUUAGACCAGUGAUAUCUUUGCCCUCGUGUUUCUAAUUGAGAGCAGGGAUCAGGCCCCAAGCCCAUCUCAACCAACUACAAAGCCCUUAAGGAUGGUUGACCUUGGAUGCCCAGUGUUUGGUCUAGUUACUUCCUUUGUGAGCUACAGGAUAUUGAACUUCCCCUGUCGUCUUGGUGACAAAAUGCAAGAGCCCACAUCUUUCCUUCCCUCAGUUCCAGUCUGAACCCCUAAAGGCAGCUUUUUCACAGUCUGUCGUCUUCAGGGGCUCAGUUUCCCUUAGCCUGGGCUGAGUACGCCCACUCUCUAACUUCCUGGCUGGUAAAGCCUGGAGAGGUACAGGAUGAUGGGUGAGGCCUUGGUGAAGGUGGAAGGAUGGAUUGGGGUUUGGGGUGGGG
Molecule: long non-coding RNA, 6382 nt
Filed under: Marmota monax (woodchuck)
Lineage: Eukaryota; Metazoa; Chordata; Mammalia; Rodentia; Sciuridae
Source: RNAcentral